GACGAACCGUCCAAACGUUGUUCGGAAUCACUGGGCUUAAAGGGCGCGUAGGCGGGCUGCCAAGUCCGGGGUGAAAUCCUCCCGCUUAACGGGAGAACUGCCUCGAUACUGGAAGUCUCGAGGAGGGUAGGGGCACGCGGAACUGUGGGUGGAGCGGUGAAAUGCGUUGAUAUCCAUAGGAACUCCGGUGGCGAAGGCGGCGUGCUGGACCCUUUCUGACGCUGAGGCGCGAAAGCCAGGGGAGCAAACGGG
Molecule: ribosomal RNA, 252 nt
Filed under: uncultured bacterium
Lineage: Bacteria
Description: partial 16S ribosomal RNA
Rfam family: Bacterial small subunit ribosomal RNA
Source: RNAcentral